RNAcentral lists this ribosomal RNA (492 nucleotides) under uncultured bacterium. RNAcentral describes it as "partial 16S ribosomal RNA". It matches the Rfam family "Bacterial small subunit ribosomal RNA", at positions 29 to 507 of the family's 1533-position model. The record is from RNAcentral.
AGUGAACGCUGGCGGUAGGCCUAACACAUGCAAGUCGAACGGCAGCACAGUAAGAGCUUGCUCUUACGGGUGGCGAGUGGCGGACGAGUGAGGAAUACAUCGGAAUCUACUUUUUCGUGGGGGAUAACGUAGGGAAACUUACGCUAAUACCGCAUACGACCUACGGGUGAAAGCAGGGGAUCUUCGGACCUUGCGCGAUUGAAUGAGCCGAUGUCGGAUUAGCUAGUUGGCGGGGUAAAGGCCCACCAAGGCGACGAUCCGUAGCUGGUCUGAGAGGAUGAUCAGCCACACCGGAACUGAGACACGGUCCAGACUCCUACGGGAGGCAGCAGUGGGGAAUAUUGGACAAUGGGCGCAAGCCUGAUCCAGCCAUACCGCGUGGGUGAAGAAGGCCUUCGGGUUGUAAGGCCCUUUUGUUGGGAAAGAAAAGCAGCAGGUUAAUACCCCGCUGUUCUGACGGUACCCAAAGAAUAAGCACCGGCUAACUUCGUG